This 72-nucleotide transfer RNA is filed under the name Algoriphagus locisalis. RNAcentral's name for it is "tRNA_Arg_CCT". The stretch from base 4 to 66 matches the Rfam family "tRNA", at positions 5 to 66 of the family's 71-position model. From Rfam's summary of the family: Transfer RNA (tRNA) molecules are approximately 80 nucleotides in length. The record is from RNAcentral. Lineage: Bacteria; Pseudomonadati; Bacteroidota; Cytophagia; Cytophagales; Cyclobacteriaceae.
GCCCUGUAGUUCAAUGGAUAGAACAAGCGUUUCCUAAACGCUAGAUCUAGGUUCUCCGCCCGGCAGACGCCA